This 460-nucleotide ribosomal RNA is filed under the name uncultured bacterium. RNAcentral describes it as "partial 16S ribosomal RNA". It matches the Rfam family "Bacterial small subunit ribosomal RNA", at positions 338 to 795 of the family's 1533-position model. The record is from RNAcentral.
CCUACGGGGGGCAGCAGUGAGGAAUAUUGGUCAAUGGGCGGGAGCCUGAACCAGCCAAGUCGCGUGAGGGAAGAAGGUACUGAGUAUUGUAAACCUCUUUUGCCAGGGGACAAAGGCGGCCACGGGUGGCCGUAAGAGGGUACCUGGAGAAAAAGCAUCGGCUAACUCCGUGCCAGCAGCCGCGGUAAUACGGAGGAUGCGAGCGUUAUCCGGAUUUAUUGGGUUUAAAGGGUGCGUAGGCGGUCGGAUAAGUUAGAGGUGAAAUCCCGAGGCUCAACUUCGGAAUUGCCUCUGAUACUGUUCGGCUAGAGAGUAGUUGCGGUAGGCGGAAUGUAUGGUGUAGCGGUGAAAUGCUUAGAGAUCAUACAGAACACCGAUUGCGAAGGCAGCUUACCAAGCUACUUCUGACGUUGAGGCACGAAAGCGUGGGGAGCAAACAGGAUUAGAUACCCCAGUAGUC